UACAGAGGGGGCAAGCGUUAUUCGGAAUUAUUGGGCGUAAAGGGCGCGUAGGCGGCUUUGCAAGUGACGGGUGAAAUCCCUCGGCUUAACCGAGGAACUGCCUGUCGAACCGGCAUUCUUGAGGCAGGUAGAGGUGGCUGGAACGACGGGUGGAGCGGUGAAAUGCGUAGAUAUCGAGAGGAACACCGGUGGCGAAGGCGAGUCCCUGGUCCACUUCUGACGCUGAGGCGCGAAAGCGUGGGUAGCAAACAGG
Molecule: ribosomal RNA, 253 nt
Filed under: uncultured bacterium
Lineage: Bacteria
Description: partial 16S ribosomal RNA
Rfam family: Bacterial small subunit ribosomal RNA
Source: RNAcentral